GACGAACGCUGGCGGCGUGCUUAACACAUGCAAGUCGAACGGAAAGGCCCUGCUUUUGUGGGGUGCUCGAGUGGCGAACGGGUGAGUAACACGUGAGUAACCUGCCCUUGACUUUGGGAUAACUUCAGGAAACUGGGGCUAAUACCGGAUAGGAGCUCCUGCUGCAUGGUGGGGGUUGGAAAGUUUCGGCGGUUGGGGAUGGACUCGCGGCUUAUCAGCUUGUUGGUGGGGUAGUGGCUUACCAAGGCUUUGACGGGUAGCCGGCCUGAGAGGGUGACCGGCCACAUUGGGACUGAGAUACGGCCCAGACUCCUACGGGAGGCAGCAGUGGGGAAUAUUGCACAAUGGGCGGAAGCCUGAUGCAGCAACGCCGCGUGCGGGAUGACGGCCUUCGGGUUGUAAACCGCUUUCGCCUGUGACGAAGCGUGAGUGACGGUAAUGGGUAAAGAAGCACCGGCAACUACGUG
This 467-nucleotide ribosomal RNA is filed under the name uncultured bacterium. RNAcentral's name for it is "partial 16S ribosomal RNA". It matches the Rfam family "Bacterial small subunit ribosomal RNA", at positions 28 to 507 of the family's 1533-position model. The record is from RNAcentral.